This is a long non-coding RNA of Alexandromys fortis (reed vole), 2950 nucleotides long. RefSeq lists it as uncharacterized. Lineage: Eukaryota; Metazoa; Chordata; Mammalia; Rodentia; Cricetidae. The transcript has 2 exons. The record is from RefSeq and is a predicted model, not a curated record.
GCAGCUGGUGCUCUUAACCCCUGAACCAUCUCUCCAGCCUCCUUCUUUUCUUAACUUACCUUUGUUAGGCUUUUUUGUCAGAGCAAUGCGAAUAGUAACUAAUACACACAGUUAUAGGCCAUGCUUCUGUGGGUGAUGUUUGGUGGAGGCCUGAAGAUAAAGGAGGAAUAACCCUCAUUGAGGUCAACACUGGAGUAGAACUACAUAGAAUUCUACUAGCUAACAAAGAGCAGGAGCCAAAGUCUGGUGUCAGGCUUGGAAAGCUGAGAUUGAGGCUCCACCAAAGCCUGUCUUGGUUUUCAGGAGCAAGGUGAGCCCAGGUGUCGGCUAAGGGUCAGUGAGGCUACAGGAGAGCCAGUGCUCCAAAUAUUUCUGCAAGGGAGGGAGAGAUGACGGGUACCCAGGAGAUAGACCCAGCCAGGGCGUGACGUGAUGGGUACCCAGGAGAUAGACCCAGCCAGGACGUGACGUGAUGGGUACCCAGGAGAUAGACCCAGCCAGGGCGUGACGUGAUGGGUACACAGGAGAUAAACUGAGCCAGGACGUGACGUGAUAGGUACCCAGGAGACAGACCCAGUCACUUGGACUCAGCCAUCUGAACAUCUGAGUUUGGGAAGAUGGACUUCGGAUUCCAGGUACUUCCUAAAAGUCUGACGGGGAGAGAAAAUGACGGGAACAUUCAAGCACUGAACUCUGGCAGUCACUGCUUCCUGGCAUACUAUGGCCCGAAGACUCACUGGCAAGCUCAGAGCUUAGGAAACAUCAGUUAGUAGAAGUCACACUGUGUGAUUUGCUGGGUGAGCUGUGUUGCCUACAAAACCAGGAUUAAUCUUCAAUAUAUGUGACUCUAGAUCUUAACCCUCAUUUGUAAUCCUUCUAUCAUAAAGGAAAACAAUGCUCUUUGCAAUUUAAAAACCAAAGAGUGAGGUUAGGGAUGUAGCUUAGUUGGUGAAAUGCUUGCCUAGCAUACAUGAGAUGCUGGUUUUGAGGCUCAGGUCUGUAAAAAACUUAGCAUGGUGACGAAUGUCUAUAAUCCCAGGAUCCAGGAUCCAGGCUGGGGGACCAAAAAGCCUGGGAACAUCUUUGGCUACAUGAGGAGUUCGAGACCAGUGUGGGAUAGAGACCCUGCCUCAAAAAACUUGAGAUGAGAGAGAAAGAAGAGGAACAUUUAUUUCCCCAAGCCUGUUAUUAAGGUGACGCCAUGAGCGGUUCGCAUGGACUGAUCACACUGAAGCCCGUGACACCCCAGCAUGCUGUUUAUUCUGGCAGACACCCUCCUUUGCUCUCACGUGAGUUUGCGUCGGGGAGCUUCCCGUGUCGUGUGGCGGCCUGUGAUGGCAGCGGAAGAUGAUAACCGAGCUCAUUCGUGUGGUUGGUAGCAGGGGGAGCGGAAUUACGCCAACCCUGUCUCUCCUUCCACACAUAUCCCCCUAGGCUGUGCUGUGCUUAACACCUGUGCCCUAGCGAGUUGUGUGUCUGUCUCCCGUGAAGAGCAAAGAGCAUGCAUCUAGCAUAGUGCACCACAGAGAGUAACUGUUUGCCAAAUAAGCGGUUUUUCAGGUCAACUGUAGAAAAUGCUGAUGAACCACAUAUGGUUGGAAAGUGGAGGCAGGAGCACCAGUUCGAGACCAUCUUUGACUAUAUGGAGAAUUCGAAGCCAGCCUGGACUGAAUGAGACUGCGCCUCAGACAAGCAAACAAAGCCCUUGACGUGUGCACCUCCAACUACCUAGAAGCAGAAGUGUAGCUCUCCCCACACCCCCUUACAUCCAGGCUAGCCUUGCCUUGCUUGGACUAAUAGAACAGGACAAAGUGAAAUGCGGUUUCCAAGCUGAAAAUCUUUCUGCUGUGGAAAUCCUGAGCCACAGAUGAAGACAGGUUUAACCCUAUGGCCCUAACUAUUGAGAUCAGGCUGCUCUCUGAUCCAAGGUACUCCACACUGUGAAAACAAAGGUUUUCACAAAGGUUUUUCAGGCUGUGCCUUGCCCUGGGAGACUUCAUUUGACAGCAGCAUUUGACUCCACUCUGAGUGCAGGCACAGAGGUAGGAUGUCCCUGCACCUUGGUGACAGCACAUGAACAACGCUGUCCACCCAGCACCACCUGUAGGCGCAGACUGAUGCACCGUUUAUUCCUAAAAUAAAAGGGGGCAAGCCACAAAUUUUCCAAAGGAAUUUAGAUGAAGUAAAUGCACGUGUAUUAACAUCAUAUCAGGAGAGCCAGACCCGAGAACUCAGCAGCCAUGCAGACUAAGGGAAUGAUGCAGAACGCCAACCUGGAUCCCCGAAAGAGAAGGAUCAUCUUGACAGCAUCGAAGCCAGCAGACGGAGAGGCCAUUCCCACAGACUGUCCUCCGUACCUGAUGUCAGUCACAAACAGCAGCCACCCGGGUUUCAGAGUGCGCUGUAAUCCAGUUCCCAUAGCCUCAUCAACAGGCUUGAUUCCUUUGCUGGAGAACAUUCGCGGAGCUCAGAGAAAUGUUUGCUCCAGAUGACCAGCCAGGUGGGAGGAGUGCACUGAGGAAGACAUGUGGGAAGGGCGGGCAGAACCUCUCUGGACACUUCACCCUCAAGUCCCUCCACGUGUUCAUCUCUUGAAAGGUCCCGCAACCCAGUCCCUUCCGGCUUUUAUGAAAGUGUCAUUUCAUAGGCCUGAUUGGUUGCAACACUGACCAUCAGGGGUCAAUAGAACUCGGGACUGAAGUUCCCAACCCUCUCAGGGUACCUUGGUUUUUCUGAUGACCAGCUGUGAGACCCCCUAGCCACUAGGCAUCUCAUUGAUACAUAAAAGAUGCUAGCAAUUUAAAGUGUUGGUGGAGGGUUGGAGACUGGCUCUGGGGAACACAAAAACCAAUGUGUUUUCACACCAUCACACAGAUAUUGGUGUAAGGGAGUAGUGUUAAAUCCUACUAGAACAUCUUUUGUUACGGACCUUGGUACCAUCCCUGGCAUC